AGAGUUUGAUUAUGGCUCAGGAUGAACGCUGGCGGCGUGCUUAACACAUGCAAGUCGAACGAAGCAUUUGCGACAGAUUUCUUCGGAUUGAAGUUGCUUAUGACUGAGUGGCGGACGGGUGAGUAACGCGUGGGUAACCUGCCUCAUACAGGGGGAUAGCAGCUGGAAACGGCUGGUAAUACCGCAUAAGCGCACAGUACCACAUGGUACAGUGUGAAAAACUCCGGUGGUAUGAGAUGGACCCGCGUCUGAUUAGCUGGUUGGCGGGGUAACGGCCCACCAAGGCGACGAUCAGUAGCCGACCUGAGAGGGUGACCGGCCACAUUGGGACUGAGACACGGCCCAG
RNAcentral lists this ribosomal RNA (346 nucleotides) under uncultured bacterium. RNAcentral's name for it is "bacterial SSU rRNA". It matches the Rfam family "Bacterial small subunit ribosomal RNA", at positions 8 to 334 of the family's 1533-position model. The record is from RNAcentral.